Molecule: ribosomal RNA, 497 nt
Filed under: uncultured bacterium
Lineage: Bacteria
Description: partial 16S ribosomal RNA
Rfam family: Bacterial small subunit ribosomal RNA
Source: RNAcentral
GAUGAACGCUGGCGGCGUGCCUAAUACAUGCAAGUCGAGCGAACAGGCGAGGAGCUUGCUCCUCUGACGUUAGCGGCGGACGGGUGAGUAACACGUGGAUAACCUACCUAUAAGACUGGGAUAACUUCGGGAAACCGGAGCUAAUACCGGAUAAUAUAUUGAACCGCAUGGUUCAAUAGUGAAAGGCGGUUUUGCUGUCACUUAUAGAUGGAUCCGCGCCGCAUUAGCUAGUUGGUAAGGUAACGGCUUACCAAGGCAACGAUGCGUAGCCGACCUGAGAGGGUGAUCGGCCACACUGGAACUGAGACACGGUCCAGACUCCUACGGGAGGCAGCAGUAGGGAAUCUUCCGCAAUGGGCGAAAGCUUGACGGAGCAACGCCGCGUGAGUGAUGAAGGUCUUCGGAUCGUAAAACUCUGUUAUUAGGGAAGAACAAAUGUGUAAGUAACUAUGCACGUCUUGACGGUACCUAAUCAGAAAGCCACGGCUAACUACGUG